AUGGAGAAUAAUACUGAUGGAAUGUUUGGUACACCUGAGCAUAACUCACAUCCUAAGGUUCACAGCUUGAUGUGCAGUGAGUUGAAAAUGAUGUUGGAUAAAGUUACUUCUAUUCUUCCAUCAAUAGAAGCGGCUCAACCAGGAUGUAAAGCAGGCAUAGCGGAACUAUGUAAUCUGUACAGCAUAGUUGACAAAGGGAAACUUAUAAUCCAGAACUGCAUUGAGUGUAGUAGUCUUUAUUUGGCUAUUACAGGAGAAGCAACAGCAAUGCGAUGCGAAAGGAUUAGAAACUCGAUGAGGCGGAGCUUGUUCUUGAUUCAGAAUAUGGUCCCGUCCAUGUUGGCUGAUCAGGUUGCUGAUGUACAUAAUGAUCUCCGAAAUAUAAAAUUCCUUGUUGAUCCAGCAGAAGAAGAAGCUGGCAAAGCGGUCUUGAAGAUGCUUCGACAUUCGGAUGCAACCGAAGAACUUGAAAUGCAUACAUUCCUUCUAGCAUGUUCAAAGUUAAAUCUGACAUCACAGAAAGCUAUGUUAAUCGAAAGACGGGCAAUCAAGAAACUACUAGAUAAGAUCAAUGGCAACGAUCCCAAAAAGGAAGGUAUCCUCAGUUUUUUCCUGUAUCUAGUCAGAAAGUACGGAAAGAACAGCAAGCCUGAAACAGGUGCAAAGAAUGGAACUGUGAAUGAAACUACAUGCACAAAUGUAAUUUCUAGUGACACUGGUGCACGCAGAAAAUGCAUUCCAGGUGUGAACUCUGGGACUGGGAGAUAUGAUGAUCAGAAUAAUUUGUCAGGACUUGCUACACCACCUACAGAGCUCUGCUGCCCAAUAUCUAUGAAGCUGAUGCAUGAUCCUGUGAUAAUAGCCUCUGGACAAACUUGUGAAAGAGAAAAUAUCGAGAGGUGGUUCAGUAAAGGAUACGAUACUUGUCCUAGGACACAAGUAAAGUUAGAAAACUUUACAAUAACUCCAAAUACUUGUAUGCAGGCUGUUAUUUACAACUGGUGCAAAGAACAGAAGCUUGAAUGCACUUAUUUGCCCGAGCAAUUUCAUAAUUACUCCCUAUCAAGUUUGCACGAUAUCUCGGCGCCCCUGAUUGCUGACAAAAACUUUGAUUACAUGGUUGAGCAUAGCGGUUCAUCAGUUGCAUUAUGUAGUGCUAGUUACUUAUCAUCCCCAGUCAGGGAAACGGAUGUGCCAAAGACUAAUUUUACCAGGUUUUAUUCAAAUGUCAAUUGCCAGUUGUAUCUGUCCUUCUGCAACUUCGAUAAGGAAAUGUUUCUGAAUUUGUUUCAAGAGCACUCAGAGCUCCCGGUGGAACUGCAAAGGCAGGCUGUCAAAGACUUAAAAACUGUCCUGAAUAGUAAAAAUGAGGUUUGGCAGUCCAUGAUCUCCAAUGGCUUUUUAGAAGCAUUCCUUGAAUUUCUUAAGAAUGACAAUCUCAGAAGCACAUUACAAGCUCAGAAAACUGGAAUUUAUUUUUUCCUUACGUUUCUUUGCAAUAGCAGGACUAGAAUUUUAUCUAUCACUGAAGAUGCAGUGCGGCUGAUUGUAUCGCUUCUUGAUUCUGAGUUAAAGCUGGAAGCUUUGCUGAUACUUCAUGAACUGCUGCAUCAUCCAAUUUGUCGGGAAUCUCCUCUCAUGGCCUCGCUUGUGGCUCCUUCUGUGGUUGGAGCUUUGGAUACUGGAGACAAUGAGUGCUUGCAGCUCGCUCUAAAGAUGAUCUGCGAACUGUCAUCCAGUAAUGAUGUAAAAUCCUUACUGAUUUCUCCAGGCAUAAUUGCCAAGCGGUCUACAUUGCUCAGUGAAGUAAGCUUGACCGAGUAUUGCUUGAAGAUUCUGCGGAACUUAUGCGAAGUGAAACAAGCUGCUGAUCUUAUCAUCAGAUCAGAGCAUUGCAUCGGUUCCAUUUCAGAUCAUCUAGACACAGGAAGCCGCAGUGAGCAGGAUCAUGCAUCUGUUAUUCUUCAUACGGUAUGUUCCCACAGCACCGAGGCGGAUCAUUUUCUUGUGAUGAAGGAAGGUGUCAUCCCUGCCCUUGUUGAUCUGUCGGUUUAUGGAACUGAGGGGGCAAAAGCGUCUUCAAUCAAGCUGCUUCAAAUCUUGGGGGGCUCAGGGGUAGCUCAUGCUGUCGAUGCUGGAGUAGAGAGCUCACCCAAUGGGUCGAUCUGCAAACAGCCGAUAUCCAAAUCAGCUCGGUAUAUCUCAAGAAAGCUCAGCAUUUUCUCAAAACCCUGGUCACGAAACGUCCUCUGA
This 2253-nucleotide ribosomal RNA is filed under the name Triticum aestivum (bread wheat). RNAcentral's name for it is "partial small subunit ribosomal RNA". Lineage: Eukaryota; Viridiplantae; Streptophyta; Magnoliopsida; Poales; Poaceae. The record is from RNAcentral.